This 425-nucleotide ribosomal RNA is filed under the name uncultured bacterium. RNAcentral describes it as "partial 16S ribosomal RNA". It matches the Rfam family "Bacterial small subunit ribosomal RNA", at positions 354 to 796 of the family's 1533-position model. The record is from RNAcentral.
GUGGGGAAUAUUGGACAAUGGGCGAAAGCCUGAUCCAGCAAUGCCGCGUGAGUGAUGAAGGCCCUAGGGUUGUAAAGCUCUUUUACCCGGGAUGAUAAUGACAGUACCGGGAGAAUAAGCUCCGGCUAACUUCGUGCCAGCAGCCGCGGUAAUACGAGGGGAGCUAGCGUUGUUCGGAAUUACUGGGCGUAAAGCGCGCGUAGGCGGUUUUUUAAGUCAGAGGUGAAAGCCCGGGGCUCAACCCCGGAAUAGCCUUUGAAACUGGAAAACUAGAAUCUUGGAUAGGUCAGUGGAAUUCCGAGUGUAGAGGUGAAAUUCGUAGAUAUUCGGAAGAACACCAGUGGCGAAGGCGACUGACUGGACAAGUAUUGACGCUGAGGUGCGAAAGCGUGGGGAGCAAACAGGAUUAGAUACCCUUGUAGUCC